AAGGGCAUAGCUCAGGGGUACAGUGCAUGCCUAGCAUGCAUGAGGUCCUGGAUUCAAUCUCCGGUGCCUCCA
RNAcentral lists this transfer RNA (72 nucleotides) under Camelus bactrianus (Bactrian camel). It matches the Rfam family "tRNA". From Rfam's summary of the family: Transfer RNA (tRNA) molecules are approximately 80 nucleotides in length. Their secondary structure includes four short double-helical elements and three loops (D, anti-codon, and T loops). Lineage: Eukaryota; Metazoa; Chordata; Mammalia; Artiodactyla; Camelidae. The record is from Rfam by way of RNAcentral. RNAcentral also lists the same sequence under 1 other name.